Long non-coding RNA from Etheostoma cragini (Arkansas darter), 246 nucleotides. RefSeq lists it as uncharacterized. NCBI's taxonomy places the organism in Eukaryota, Metazoa, Chordata, Actinopteri, Perciformes, Percidae. The transcript has 3 exons. The record is from RefSeq and is a predicted model, not a curated record.
UUAGCUAGCCAGCUACACACUGAACAUGUCAGGGUUUAAAGAAGAUUUGGAUGGUGCAACAUGACAGGCCGGCUUGGUUCAUUCAGGCAACGAUUGUAAAGAUUUACAAAGAACAUUUUUAUGGCGUUUCCUCUCUAACUGAGAUGUUUUGGGACCAACUGGUGGAAUUGCUGUGGACUAAGUACACACGGCGAUAGACUGGUAAGUUUAACCAUGUAUUAGCUAAUUUAAAUGUGUCACAUUACU